This 29-nucleotide non-coding RNA is filed under the name Mus musculus (house mouse). The record is from RNAcentral. Lineage: Eukaryota; Metazoa; Chordata; Mammalia; Rodentia; Muridae.
UAACAGUAAGGCAAGCACCGCAUCAUUUU